Molecule: long non-coding RNA, 1461 nt
Organism: Symsagittifera roscoffensis
Lineage: Eukaryota; Metazoa; Xenacoelomorpha; Acoela; Convolutidae
Exons: 2
Source: RefSeq, a predicted model, not a curated record
GACAUACUCCGAGCGAGUUGUUAUUGACGGCGAGCAAUGGUGCGUAAUUGUCUGUGUUUUGUGUCGACCGGGAUCGUUUGGAUCUUACCCGAGCACGAUUGUUAGCAAUGACCCGGUUGACGGCGAACCCGUAGACUCCGAAUGGCGAAUUAACGUGGACGGCGAUAACCUUAUUUGGAGAAUGGAGCAAGGCUCUAAGAGUUCAAGUCUGAUGGUGACUGGAGCUGUUCUCGUUGACAUCAAAUUCUUCGACUCAAUUGGAAGCAUCGGAGGUUUGACGUAUCGCGAGGCUUCCCUGUUGGUUCACACUAACUACUCGCAAAAAUGAAGUGUUUGCCUGUAGCGUUAGUUUGAAAGUGACGAGAAAUUGUUGUAUACAGUGCCGUUAAGUGCAAUUUGAAUACAGUGCAAUUGUAACCUAUUUCUAUCUUCUGUCAAAUAAUCUGAAUUAUAAUUGAAUCUUUUAUAUGGGUCCUAGGAGCUGCAUGUUAGAAUACCUGGGAUCUAUAAUUUGUAAAUACUGCAAUGAAAUCUUGAUUUUGUAAAUUUUAGUGAUUUUUCCUCGAGUGAAUGAAAUACGUUAAAACUCGUUUAAAAUAAAUGCAAAUAAUUACUAAAACAUACGUGAACUUUCGUUCAUAUUUGACUUAAAACCAGCCCUACAAAGGCUGCGUUGUGCUAAAAUUGUGACUACUUCUUCUUGAAGUAAAUAUCUCCUUUUUCGGUGCUUUUUCAAAAUUGAAAUAAUAUCAACUGAUAGGUGCUUACUACAUUUUUAUUUGAAAAUUAUAUUUUUCGACGAAUAGUUAUAAUAAGAAUCUAUAUUUUCAAGGUUUUUAUUUAAAAUUUAACGUCCUUAUACCGCAAAUGAAGCGUUUGCUUGAAACUUUGAAAAGUGACCGGAAGUGAUUGAAUACAUUGCUGUUAAGUGCAAUUUGAAUAGUGCAAUUGGAACCUAUUUAUAUCUUUUGUCAAAUAAUCUGAAUUGUAAUUGAACCUUUUAUAUAACCGUACGAACCUAUUUCUUUCAAUUGCAAUUUCUUUCUGCAAACCUAAUUUUCUUUUGUCGAAUUAUCCGAAUUAUAAUUGAACAUUUAAUAUAGCGGUACGAUUUUCAUUUAAGGAUACGUGGGUUCUAGAUUUCUAAAUACUGCAAUGAUUUUGAAUUUUAGUUAUUCUGUCUUGAGCUAUUAAAAUCGUUAUGAUUCUUUUUAAAUAAAUAUUUAAACAUACUUGAAUAUUCGUUGUUAUAUGAGUUGAAACCAGCCCAUCAACGGCGGUCUUAAUUAGUUGUCAACGGCGGUCAACAUUAGCUAAAUUUAUUGUGAAGAUUUCUUGAAAUGAAUAUCUCCUUUUCUGGUGCUCUUUUUUGUAAUUGAAAUUAUAUCAACUGAUAGGUGCUUACUAAAAUUUUUCAUAUUUUUUGACAGAAUUAUACAAAUAGAAUUUAUUUUUUGAAAA